RNAcentral lists this ribosomal RNA (520 nucleotides) under uncultured Glomus. Its description in RNAcentral is "SSU rRNA". It matches the Rfam family "Eukaryotic small subunit ribosomal RNA", at positions 569 to 1090 of the family's 1831-position model. Lineage: Eukaryota; Fungi; Glomeromycota; Glomeromycetes; Glomerales; Glomeraceae. The record is from RNAcentral.
AGCAGCCGCGGUAAUUCCAGCUCCAAUAGCGUAUAUUAAAGUUGUUGCAGUUAAAAGCUCGUAGUUGAAUUUCGGGAUCAGUUGAUCGGUCGUGCCUCGGUACGUACUGGUCAAAUUGAUUCCUACCUUCUGACGAACCACGAUGUCAUUAAUUUGGUGUCGUGGGAAAUCAGGACUGUUAACUUUGAAAAAAUUAGAGUGUUUAAAGCAGGCUCGCGCUUGAAUACAUUAGCAUGGAAUAAUGAAAUAGGACGUUUGAUUCUAUUUUGUUGGUUUCUAGGAUCGACGUAAUGAUUAAUAGGGAUAGUUGGGGGCAUUAGUAUUCAAUUGUCAGAGGUGAAAUUCUUGGAUUUAUUGAAGACUAACUACUGCGAAAGCAUUUGCCAAGGAUGUUUUCAUUAAUCAAGAACGAAGGUUAGGGGAUCGAAGACGAUCAGAUACCGUCGUAGUCUUAACCAUAAACUAUGCCGACUAGGGAUCGGAUGAUGUUAAUUUUUUCAAUGACUCAUUCGGCGCCUUA